AAAAAAAAAAAAAAAAGAGGGGCGGCUAGAAGGGAAACUAAGGAAGAGAACGGGAAAGAAACAAGCUAGAGAGUCUUGGGCUGAGGGAGGAAAAGAAAGCUAAGGUAAGAAACAAAGAAAAAGGCAGCGAGAGGAAGAGCAAGAUUGAACAAAGGCGGGGCUACGGGCUGGAGGAGAAAAAACUGGGAAAAAAGAAAGGGGGGAACCAAGAAAAAAACUACGGGCUUGAGGAGAGAAAAACUAGAAAAGAGAUUGGGAGAGGGUUGUGAGGAGCUUUGGGAAGACAGGAAAAAGAGAAUGGCGGCUGGGGGUUGGAGGAAAAAAGCUACGAGAGCUGGCGGUGAAGCUUUGGGAAGAAGAAGGAAACUGAAAACAAAAAAAACAAGGGAAGCUACGGGCUGAGGAACCAAUAGAGGGAGAGGAAACCAAAGAGAGCAAGGAAAAAUCUGGAACUAAGCAAGGAAAAUCUGUGAAAAGUUUACGGGCAAGAAACCAGAGGAAGAAAGGCAAGAGAGAGGGAAGAGUUUCGAGGGAGAAAGGAGAAAAAGCUUGGGGGAAAUCUGGAAAAAGGAGGAAAACCAGAGAGAAAAGCUACGGGUAAGAAGAGAGGGAGGAGAUUGAGAGAAGGUGGAGGCUGCCAAGAAAAAAAGAAAGGGAGAGGGGCUGUGGAAGGAAGAAACCGAGAGAGCAAGACAGAUUGCUGAGGAAAAACAAAGGAAAAGAAAAGGAAGAAGGUGGCGGCUGAGUAGGGAAAAGCAAGGAAAAGAAAGAAAAGAGAGGAGAAAAGAGGCGGAGCAAGAAAGACACAGAGAGAGGAGGGAAAAAUAGAGGAAAAAGGAGAUCAAAAGAAAAUUUUUGCUGGAAGAAACCCAGGGCUCAGGCUGAUUCAUCAGCCUGAUUCGUCUCCAAUUUCUGAUCAUAUUUCCGAUUUUCAGGGAGGUCUCUUCAUUUCUGCAAUAUCCUGGACUGCAAUGGAGAAGUUUUUGUUCAGAAACAAUUCGGGGAAAACAACUCCAAACCUGUUGAAUUGAAGCUUCAAUUCGCGGCACCGUCAGUCCCUGGAGAAAAUUUUGCAGCUUUCCACCAGUAGCUUUUUCGCACUUGAAUCUGCUUAUCUUACCGUGUCACGUGUUGUUCCGUCGUUUAAAACAUCAGAGGUAAUCUUUAAACUCUCUUCCGUCAUACAAGUUCGGAUUUAUGACAGAUUUCUUCCUUUUUGCUCUCUGCAUUUUGUGUUCUUCCUUUGCUGUUUUAUCUCCAUUUUUCUGUUAUAAUCUUGCGAUAAAGUGUAGCAUUUGAUCUGUUUGACGUUGGGAGUUGCAUCUUUAGGUUUUUUUGGUUCAAAGUUGAUGUUUGGUUGGAUGUUUUGUUUGAUGAAAUUGUGGUGGGCAUGAAACCAGAAACGUUGCAGAGAAAGCUAAUAAAGAAGAAAGCUUGCUUCGAUGCUCUGCAUGAAAAAUUCCAGAAAUUGCACUUUAGCCCUAAUUUUUCAACUAAUGCCACUAUGGACCAGAAAAUUGGAAAAAUAAUUAUUUUUGUCCUUUAACAUGUUAUUUUUCUUUGAUAUGAUUUAAUGUGAUUUUUGGAUCGAUUUUUAGUGAAUUUUAGGAUGAAAUUUGAGGUUUAAUAGUUUUGAGAGAUUUAUGAUUUUGAUUUGGAUUUUUAGUGAAAUUUUGGGUAUUUUUGUUGUUUAAUUGUAACAAAUGGUUUUUCAUUUAUUUUUUGUGAAUUUUAGUUUUGUUUUGGUAGGUUUCAUUCUUAAGCCAUUAAUUUUAAUUUAUUUUAAUUAGACCCCUAAUAUUUGUAAUAAUAACAAUUUGACCCCUCAAAUUUCUUUAAUUACUUCAAUUGGGUCCUUGUUUGUUUUAAUUUAUUGAAUAUGGGUUGUUUAUUUUUAUUUGAAUGAUUUGAUUGAUUCAAUUUCAUAUUUAUUUCCAUUUCAUGUGAUUAUUUGUUAAUUAAAGCGAUGUCUUGACCCUUUUUCUUUGUUUUGGAGGGUAAAUAAGGAAAACUUCACUUCAUUAGGUCACCAAUUCAAAUGAGGUGUACUCUGCUCUUUAUUUUAAUUUUACUUGAUCCUAUGUGCUCCUAUGUGACUUUAUGUGCGUAAUUGCAUGCUUUUUGAAUGUUUUUAUUUCAUUUAUUUAUUUAGUCACUUUAAUUGUUUUGAUUUUGUAUAUUUAUUUUAAUUUUUAUUUGGAAGACAAUUAAAUGCCACAAUUAUAAUAGUUAGGUUAUUAUUUCAUUUUAUUUCAUUUUUUUCCCUUUUAAAUUGUAGUUAGGGCCCCCAAAUGUAAUAGUUAGGGCUUUAUUUGAUUUAUUUGCUUUGUGUGCUAUGCAUGCUUAUGUGUUUACGUGUUACUCGCUUUCUUAGGGCCUUUUAUCUAAAUAUCAUAUUUAUGUGCUAUGUGCUAUAUAUGAUUUAUGUGUUUAUUUGCUUUAUUAUAUUUUACAUGAUUUAUUUGCCAACGCUAGUUGUAGCCCCCUUUUCUUCCGAUUUCACACUAGUCCAACGCUAGUUGUGGCCCUCCUCUCCGAUUUCUCACUAGUCCAAUGCUAGUGAGAAUUUAUAAACAUGGGCUAGUCCAACGCUAGACUCUUGGGAACCAUCCACACGUUAGAUCAUGUUUGUGUGACAAAGCACUACAUUUCAUGCAUAGUUUCUACUUUUGUAGGUUUUUUUUUUAUUUUGCAUGACAUUCCCCUUAUAUGUAUAUCCCUUAUCCCAUAUUUUCCUUAUAUGUAUAUUCCUUACCCCUUAUGUAUGAAUCAUGACAUUAGACUUGCAUUUCAUUUAAGGAAAGUUAGAACUAGGUUAGAUUAUUUUGCUUGAUUAGAUAUGAGAAAUACCCAUCGAAUAUGGGAUAUGGACAAAUAUGAUUUUCUAGCCUUAGCACGCUCGUAUUCCCUCUAUUAAAGGGAAAAUUAAAGUCACGAAUUUUAGCCCCCGCACCCGUUAUGAUGCAUUCCUUUAGGUCAUAUAUAUUUGUAUAAUUAUUAUUUUCUUUUAUUUUUCUUCGGGUCUCAUAUUUUUGCAUAUUCGUGACCUCUUCAAAGAGUCACUCUUGGGCAUCACAAUUAAUGUGAUUUGCACCAAUCAAGCUUUUGAAGAGAUAUUCCGACCCCCGACAUCUUCCUAGGUUUAGGUUUUUGCAUCCAUAUAGUGACAUCAAAAUGUGAUAAAUUCCUAAGUUAAAAUAAGAAAAUUUUUUGACUAAAUCACAUAACUAGCUUGGCUAGAUUGAAAGGGUACCUUGGAUUUUAUCCUUGCCUUCCCUUUCUUCAAAUGUGACUUCCGGCCUCUUUUCUCUUAAUUUUCGCAAACUUGAAGUCGUUUAAAAAGGGUUUUCUCUACUUUUUCUUUAAAAAUUCAUUUUAGGUGACUUGGUACAUUUUAACUCAAUACCAAGUGAUGACUCCUAUUUUUUUCUUAAAAACCCUUUUUAAACUAUUAUUUUUGGAUUAAAAUCGUUGCACUUUAAGUCCCAUUUAGGCCCAUUUUCUUUAUUUAUUUUCUAAAAAUAAAAAACUCCUUUUUACUCAAAAUAAAUCAAAAACCCAUUUUUCAAUCAAAAAUUUAUUUUUCUAAACACAUUACAUUUUCAUUUAAAAAUGGGGCGUGACACGGAGGGCAUAAGGUAAAUGUUAAAUGAGGGGAUUGUUGAUCUUUUGGAGGACAUAAGGUGGGAGUUCGGAGGUUAUAAGGUGGUAAAAUGUAGGGGAUUGUUUAUUGGUAGUUAUAAGGUGAAUAUUGCUCCUUGUGAGCCCGUAUCCUUUUAAUGUUUAAAUUAUUGUUCAUUCUUGUAUUUACUUGAACGAAUGAAUGAAUGCACGCAUGAAUGUUAUUGUUUAUCAAGUAUUUUACGCUGAAAGAUUCCUAUCACAAUUAAUUGCUCCACUACUAGUUUCUAAAGUUGAGUAUCGAUUUACUUGAACCUAUAUUAGUUGGGAAAACGUGCUUACAUGUUAAAUUGUGUUAUUCUCUUAUUUUGCUUGUUUACCUGGAAUGCUCACUGGACGUAAGCUCAUCCCACGUUUUGUUUUCCUUAAUAGGAUUCGGAUCUGAGAGUGCUGAAAAAUACUGUUGGAAUGUGUUGAGAGACUUUAAGUUUUUAUUUUAGUAGAAAUGACUGUAGUGUAUAUAUUUUUGGGUUGUAAUUAAGAUAGGCGCCAAAUGAUGAAUCUUUUGUACGUGAACCUAUGUAUUAGCUUGUGGAUGUAUGCAAGUGUUAUUUUGGGGUGUAAUGAAUAUUAUUUUGUUUAGUUUAGAAAUUUCAAGUAAUUCUUGCUAUGGAUUGUAGUGAGUCAUAGCGAGAGUUGGGCAGACGGUCCGCUGACCCCUCUAGUUUGCCUUUGGGGAAGUGGGGCUAUCACAGAUGAUCACAUGAAAAAGGUUAGGGAUAAUUUCAGAAACCUUCCUUGAGUCUUCUGACAAUUUCACUGAUACGAACCCUGCCAACUCUAUGACAAAACCUAUAAGAGACAAGUUCAAAA
RNAcentral lists this long non-coding RNA (4494 nucleotides) under Coffea arabica (coffee). Its description in RNAcentral is "long non-coding RNA (CARA_LNC007385)". The record is from RNAcentral. Lineage: Eukaryota; Viridiplantae; Streptophyta; Magnoliopsida; Gentianales; Rubiaceae.